UGAACGCUGGCGGUAGGCCUAACACAUGCAAGUCGACCGGCAGCACAGUAAGAGCUUGCUCUUACGGGUGGCGAGUGGCGGACGGGAGAGGCAUACAUCGGAAUCUACUUUUUCGUGGGGGAUAACGUAGGGAAACUUACGCUAAUACCGCAUACGACCUACGGGUGAAAGCAGGGGAUCUUCGGACCUUGCGCGAUUGAAUGAGCCGAUGUCGGAUUAGCUAGUUGGCGGGGUAAAGGCCCACCAAGGCGACGAUCCGUAGCUGGUCUGAGAGGAUGAUCAGCCACACUGGAACUGAGACACGGUCCAGACUCCUACGGGAGGCAGCAGUGGGGAAUAUUGGACAAUGGGCGCAAGCCUGAUCCAGCCAUACCGCGUGGGUGAAGAAGGCCUUCGGGUUGUAAAGCCCUUUUGUUGGGAAAGAAAAGCAGCAGGUUAAUACCCCGCUGUUCUGACGGUACCCAAAGAAUAAGCACCGGCUAACUUCGUG
This 490-nucleotide ribosomal RNA is filed under the name uncultured bacterium. RNAcentral's name for it is "partial 16S ribosomal RNA". It matches the Rfam family "Bacterial small subunit ribosomal RNA", at positions 30 to 507 of the family's 1533-position model. The record is from RNAcentral.